RNAcentral lists this ribosomal RNA (446 nucleotides) under uncultured bacterium. Its description in RNAcentral is "partial 16S ribosomal RNA". It matches the Rfam family "Bacterial small subunit ribosomal RNA", at positions 338 to 795 of the family's 1533-position model. The record is from RNAcentral.
CCUACGGGUGGCAGCAGUCGAGAAUCAUUCACAAUGGGGGAAACCCUGAUGGUGCGACGCCGCGUGGGGGAAUGAAGGUCUUCGGAUUGUAAACCCCUGUCAUGUGGGAGCAAAUUAAAAAGAUAGUACCACAAGAGGAAGUAACGGCUAACUCUGUGCCAGCAGCCGCGGUAAUACAGAGGUCUCAAGCGUUGUUCGGAAUCACUGGGGGUAAAGCGUGCGUAGGCUGUUUCGUAAGUCGUGUGUGAAAGGCGCGGGCUCAACCCGCGGACGGCACAUGAUACUGCGAGACUAGAGUAAGGGAGGGGGAAGCGGAAUUCGGGGUGUAGCAGUGAAAUGCGUAGAUAUCGAGAGGAACACUCGUGGCGAAGGCGGGUUCCUGGACAUUAACUGACGCUGAGGCACGAAGGCCAGGGGAGCGAAAGGGAUUAGAUACCCCGGUAGUC